This 429-nucleotide ribosomal RNA is filed under the name Actinomycetes bacterium. Its description in RNAcentral is "Actinobacteria bacterium partial 16S ribosomal RNA". It matches the Rfam family "Bacterial small subunit ribosomal RNA", at positions 355 to 776 of the family's 1533-position model. The record is from RNAcentral. Lineage: Bacteria; Bacillati; Actinomycetota; Actinomycetes.
UAGGGAAUCUUCCGCAAUGGGCGAAAGCCUGACGGAGCAACGCCGCGUGAGUGAUGAAGGUCUUCGGAUCGUAAAACUCUGUUAUUAGGGAAGAACAAAUGUGUAAGUAACUAUGCACGUCUUGACGGUACCUAAUCAGAAAGCCACGGCUAACUACGUGCCAGCAGCCGCGGUAAUACGUAGGUGGCAAGCGUUAUCCGGAAUUAUUGGGCGUAAAGCGCGCGUAGGCGGUUUUUUAAGUCUGAUGUGAAAGCCCACGGCUCAACCGUGGGGGGUCAUUGGAAACUGGAAAACUUGAGUGCAGAAGAGGAAAGUGGAAUUCCAUGGGUAGCGGUGAAAUGGGCAGAGAUAGGGGGGAACACCAGUGGCGAAGGCGACUUUCUGGUCUGUAACUGACGCUGAUGUGCGAAAGCGUGGGGAUCAAACAGG